UGAACGCUAGCUACAGGCUUAACACAUGCAAGUCGAGGGGCAUCAGGAAGAAAGCUUGCUUUCUUUGCCGGCGACCGGCGCACGGGUGAGUAACACGUAUCCAACCUGCCCUUUACUCGGGGAUAGCCUUUCGAAAGAAAGAUUAAUACCCGAUAGUAUAAUGAUUCCGCAUGGUUUCAUUAUUAAAGGAUUCCGGUAAAGGAUGGGGAUGCGUUCCAUUAGGUUGUUGGUGAGGUAACGGCUCACCAAGCCUUCGAUGGAUAGGGGUUCUGAGAGGAAGGUCCCCCACAUUGGAACUGAGACACGGUCCAAACUCCUACGGGAGGCAGCAGUGAGGAAUAUUGGUCAAUGGGCGCUAGCCUGAACCAGCCAAGUAGCGUGAAGGAUGAAGGCUCUAUGGGUCGUAAACUUCUUUUAUAUAAGAAUAAAGUGCAGUAUGUAUACUGUUUUGUAUGUAUUAUAUGAAUAAGGAUCGGCUAACUCCGUGCCAGCAGCCGCGGUAAUACGGAGGAUCCGAGCGUUAUCCGGAUUUAUUGGGUUUAAAGGGAGCGUAGGUGGACUGGUAAGUCAGUUGUGAAAGUUUGCGGCUCAACCGUAAAAUUGCAGUUGAUACUGUCAGUCUUGAGUACAGUAGAGGUGGGCGGAAUUCGUGGUGUAGCGGUGAAAUGCUUAGAUAUCACGAAGAACUCCGAUUGCGAAGGCAGCUCACUGGACUGCAACUGACACUGAUGCUCGAAAGUGUGGGUAUCAAACAGGAUUAGAUACCCUGGUAGUCCACACAGUAAACGAUGAAUACUCGCUGUUUGCGAUAUACAGUAAGCGGCCAAGCGAAAGCAUUAAGUAUUCCACCUGGGGAGUACGCCGGCAACGGUGAAACUCAAAGGAAUUGACGGGGGCCCGCACAAGCGGAGGAACAUGUGGUUUAAUUCGAUGAUACGCGAGGAACCUUACCCGGGCUUAAAUUGCAGUGGAAUGAUGUGGAAACAUGUCAGUGAGCAAUCACCGCUGUGAAGGUGCUGCAUGGUUGUCGUCAGCUCGUGCCGUGAGGUGUCGGCUUAAGUGCCAUAACGAGCGCAACCCUUAUCUUCAGUUACUAACAGGUCAUGCUGAGGACUCUGGAGAGACUGCCGUCGUAAGAUGUGAGGAAGGUGGGGAUGACGUCAAAUCAGCACGGCCCUUACGUCCGGGGCUACACACGUGUUACAAUGGGGGGUACAGAAGGCAGCUAGCGGGUGACCGUAUGCUAAUCCCAAAAUCCUCUCUCAGUUCGGAUCGAAGUCUGCAACCCGACUUCGUGAAGCUGGAUUCGCUAGUAAUCGCGCAUCAGCCACGGCGCGGUGAAUACGUUCCCGGGCCUUGUACACACCGCCCGUCAAGCCAUGGGAGCCGGGGGUACCUGAAGUACGUAACCGCAAGGAUCGUCCUAGGGUAAAACUGGUGACUGGGG
RNAcentral lists this ribosomal RNA (1447 nucleotides) under uncultured organism. RNAcentral describes it as "SSU rRNA". It matches the Rfam family "Bacterial small subunit ribosomal RNA". The record is from RNAcentral.